GAGGAAUGGCAGAGCGGUUGAAUGCACUGGUCUUGAAAACCAGCGUACCGAGAGGUACCGGGGGUUCGAAUCCCUCUUCCUCC
This 83-nucleotide transfer RNA is filed under the name uncultured Lewinella sp. It matches the Rfam family "tRNA". From Rfam's summary of the family: Transfer RNA (tRNA) molecules are approximately 80 nucleotides in length. Lineage: Bacteria; Pseudomonadati; Bacteroidota; Saprospiria; Saprospirales; Lewinellaceae. The record is from RNAcentral.